AACAACGAAAACAGCUGCUGAUUUCUCAAUUUUAUUAAAAAAACAAUUAAAGUAGACAAAUUCAAGCAUUAAAAACCGAAAUAAAACGACAAGCAGUCAUGGCGGAUGUCGCAGCAUGUGAAUUGCACAACGAGAACAAUGCGCCCCCAAUCAUGUGUUGCAAGCACAUGUACGACUUAUCGAGCGUUCGCGUCAUGAUGAGACCGGUGGCGAGGUCUGCCAUUUGGUGGAAGAGUUGAAUGGCACGCAAUUGAGGGACCAAGCGGAACGACAGGUGUGCCAAAUGAACUGUUUGGCAGCCUGUUGCGUUUGGUAACAGAUGAACGAUUCACUUUGCGGCUACACAUAGGCAAGAGAUCCCAGAUCUUGGCUUCCAUGUCAAAAACCGCAUGGACCACAGCCAAGACAAUGUAGAGUAAUACUGCCCUAGUGUGCUGUUCGAGGAGGAGAGAAGGAUUGAGUGAGAGACUCCCAUUGAUUACAGGGAAUUAAACCAUUGAAGAGACUGCCAGCAUUGUGAAAAAAUAUCGCAUCUCCUUCAGACGACUGCAGAGUUGUCUGAGCAUCCACGAGGAUGCCAUGGUUGCGCAGAGUAAGUCGCCUAUGCGUUCGAGUUCCUCAACGAUGCAGCCUGUGGGUCCACAAAUGGAACUGGCCUAGAUGAUUGAGCAAGGAUUCGUCAAGCGCUUCACUGAGCCACGGAGAAGAUAAUCGAAACCGUUCUUGUUAUCAUGGAGCUGAAGGAAUCGUCUGCUGCUGCACUCCAAUAGAGUUGGCUGAUGGGGUCCAGUCCUGCAAUCGGUAUCAAAUCGCAACGUUGAGCUAACCAUGUAGCUGUAGUCCAGCUAAAGCGCUAAUGCCCCGCCACUGCAACCAUUUUCCCGCAGAGGAUCGAUGAAGGCGAUGAGCGACUCCUACUUGUCCUGCGGUCUGGAUUUCAUGUUCUCCAUCGAAGUGGACGAAUUCCAAUCUGAAAGUGUGGACGACUCUGCUUGGAACGCAGGAUA
Molecule: long non-coding RNA, 1007 nt
Organism: Drosophila subobscura
Lineage: Eukaryota; Metazoa; Arthropoda; Insecta; Diptera; Drosophilidae
Exons: 4
Source: RefSeq, a predicted model, not a curated record